Long non-coding RNA from Tachysurus fulvidraco (yellow catfish), 577 nucleotides. RefSeq lists it as uncharacterized. Lineage: Eukaryota; Metazoa; Chordata; Actinopteri; Siluriformes; Bagridae. The transcript is spliced from 3 exons. The record is from RefSeq and is a predicted model, not a curated record.
UGUCAGUGUCCUUUAGAGGCCUGGGGCUCUCCUGCGCCUCCUGUUCCCAGGCCUCAGCACUCUGACAGGGCCAGGCAGCCUGUGAAAUCACACCUCUCAGCUGUUCGCACUACACUCGAGACACCCUAUACCCACUGCUCACUCUUCUACUGAAUGUCAACGGCUCCUUAAAAAUGGAGCGUUUUGGGGGCAGGGAUGACUGGGAGACAACUGUGAGGAGUUUUUUAUUGGAGUAGAGCAGAAAAUGGCUCCAGCAACACAGCUGAGUGUGAAGUUUUUCAUUUUACUGUAGUGGCUGUGGACUGUAUCACAAAUAGGGAUCACUUCCAUGUCUGAAGCUGGAAACAGGAGAGCGCAGGGAAAUGUGAACAGGGAAGCAAACACUUCAUGGCCACUAAGGUCAACACCUGUGUUCUAAACUCAGCCAGAGAGGCAGGAGUGUCAGACACAUGGCCUAGAAAUAACUGAUGAAGAUCUGAUUAUGGCACUGACUCCCACAUACAUCCCUUAUUUAAGCAUGUUACCUUAACACUAUCCAUUUGCUUAAAUCAAUAAAAUAAAUAAAUAUAUAUUUAAG